CAACUGAGGGCCUUCAGCAGCCAACACCUCCAGCAGCUGGAGGAGGUCUGCGUCUGGGGAAGGGAGUCUGGGUGGAGAACCAACAGCAUCCACUUUAUGCAUUUUGUCUCUCUCCUUUCCUAUUCCUGCUUUACUCUGCAUUCACCUUGCUAGCAUGCUGUUCAGAAACCACCCCUCAAUGCCCACAGACGACACUCCCACUUUUCCACUGUUUCCAUCCUUAUUUCCAAUCUUUGUCUCACUCCUCACCCUAGGAAAACAAUCUAUCUUUCAGGAAGCCCUUCCCUUCUUCUCUACCUGACACACUUCCUUGCCAUUCCUUCAUCUCCCGUGCUUUCUUAUUUAUACCUAGAACUUAAGAGUCAGCAGAACUAUAAUUGAGCUCCCAUUCGAAUGUGUUUUUUGGUCACCUCUUUGAUUCUCACGUCCUUCACCCCUACAAGGGGCUGUUUAGCUCUUAAAUUCAAAUGCCAUGUUGCAUUUUAAAGCUUUUUAUAAUUCUCCCCAUAAUAUCCACUUACAAAGGGAUCUACCCACAAAGACACUGUGUUCCCUCUAUUUUAUGAACCUUCUCAUAUUUAUUGCAUCAACUGUUUAGCAUAACUACACUUGAAUUAUGAUACAGCAUUACCUUUGGCACACCAUCUUCUUAACUAGAAGCUAAGCUUCCAAAAGGUAGGACCAUUGCUUUACCAGCCUCCAUAAUAGCUAAUAUAGGAGGUCUUCUCUGGGGGUUAGAAAUUAAGAUGCUUGUUAAUGGCAACUUGUAUCUGAACCAUUAAAGUAUGGGUCAAACAGAAACUUAGAAACUAAUGAUAAAAUAUAAUGAACAAUGAUCAAAAGCGCACUAGAAAAGGGAAUGUUUUAUGGACGCAAGGGACCUCUAAUCCAAAUACGUGUAAAAAAUGAACGGUUCUUGUAACCAGUAUAUUAGGCAGCAGGUUCCAAAGAGUCAUUUCCCAAUUAUUUGCUUUAUUCACAUUUGUCAAAUUAUAGCCAAGUAAAAUACGCUUUUAAAAACAUUUUCAAUUUCCUUAGAAACUUUGAGUUUGUAUUGUAUACCCUUCUUUCAAAACCGAAAUAUUUAUUUAAGAUAUCUGAUUGGAACUAUACGUCAGAAUGAUUAGAAUCAAUAGGUUAAUUAUAAAAGGCAGUGUUAUUAGGAGUCAUUAUUUAUUCUGUUCUUGGUGGCUAGAGUGUAUUUUUUUAAGUGUAUUCCAUCAUGCCUCAUGGGUAUUUAUAGAUAAAACUUCUCAGCGAGUCUGACUUUCAUGAUUUCACUCCAUGCACUGGGCUUGUACAAGUGGCUAUUGAAUACCAGCCAAGAUGACUCACUUUUUAUCACAAGAUGGAAAACUUCUUUCAGUAUGGCUCUAUCCUGAAAUAUCUGUUUUCUGCUACUGGUAAAAUACCAGUGACAUAUGAGGUAGUAAGCAUUCAUUGAACACUUUAAGAUAAGUAGUUGAAGACUUUAAAAAUCUGAAACUUGGGUUGGUGCUGAAAAAAUACAAGUGGGCCAUACAUAUUAUGAUAAACUAAACUUAACUCAUUUCUCUUUUUUACCUCCAACCAUGACUCUCAAUACAGAGAUUGGGGAGAAAAAGAACUGGUAGAAGCCCUAGAGGAAUGCCUAAUUAGCCUGACUGUUUCUACUAUGGUUGGCAUUUAUCUCCUUUUAAAACAAUCCAUGGUUUAUGUGUGUUUCUCAGAUGAAACUUAGGAGAUGAGAAAAGACAGAAUAUUUGGAAUGUCAUACACAGGGAAAAAUUUCUGUCAAACACAUUAUUGAAGCUGAAAAAAAAUGAAAUUGAAACAAAGAACACCUGCUACUUUAACUCAUUUAAAAAAACAUAAUGUUCUUUACUUGCUGACUGGAAAUAUUAUAUUUUCAGAGAAGAGAAAGUGAUAAUCUAAAUGGGAGAAAAUGCAAUGAUUCACUAUGCAGUGAAAUGAAAUCGGAAAUAUUUUAAAUUGUGUAUUUCAGUUUGUGGAGGGGUAGGUAGUUUGUAUAAAAACGGUUUUACUCAUCAGGUGGUGAAUAUUUCUCACAAAUUGCAGUAUAGAGAAUAAAAUCAGCUUGUCACUAAAGAUUUUUUUUUAUUGACAUCUUUAGCUUGUCUUCAUGCCAGUAAUUAAAUUGCUAAUUAUGUGUUUCUGUUACUGUGGUCAUGCUUUUAUUACAUAAUUGCUUCAAGUUUUGUUCAAAUCACUAACAAUAUUUAUUUAACCUUUUUGUGCAUUAGAUAAAUUUUAAUAUAUAAAAGCUUUGGAAUGAGUUCAUUGACUCUGUUUUGAUUAGCAAAAUCAAAGGGAUUCUAACCUUUCUUAUAGUUACAUGGGUUGGGUCACAUUUUCAAUGAGAUUGCUGAUAAUUAUUAAUUCAGGCAGUAGCAAUCAUUGAAAGACCAGUUGAAAUAGAACUGAGAAAGAAUACAAAGAAAACUUUUCAAAAACCUAGUGUCCAUUCCAGAAAAAUAAAAUGUUCUUUCUUGAGGUAAUCGGAAAUAUAAAAUUAAUAAUUUGAUCUUUGAUAUGUCCAGAGUUUUCAAAAAAACAUUUGAAUAAAUUGUGGCUAAUUCAGUUAUCAGGCUUUCCCUCCCCUUUUGAAUGUAGGCAUAAUUUUUGUCAGUGUUUCAAUGUAUUCAUGAUUUUUUCUCAUUUGUUUAUUUUAUGCAAACCAUAAGAGACAUUUUUCUCAGUGAAGAUUGCCUCUUUAUUUUAUUUUGAAAUAUUUGUAUAUUUAUUUCAUUAAAUGAGAUAAUGCUUUUUCUUAUUAACAUAAUUUCCAGUACAUUAAACAUAUUUCUCCACAGACAGAAGAGAGGAAUCAAAUUAAAUGACAGCUAAAUCACUUGCAGCAAUUUCAACUGUUAAAAGAAAUAAGUGUCUCUGUUUUCUUUGUGAUCACAAGAUGUGCUGUAAAGGGAAAUGAAAUACUAAAGAAAGAAGGGAAAACAUAAAGAAAUAAUGACUGACUUAUUGCAGUAAUACCAUUGAGAGAAGAAAAAUUCACUGCAAAUAAAAGGAAAAAUAAUAUAGUGGAUUUGAAAGUUACCAAAAUUCAUUUCUUAUUGAUGAGUUCAGUGGAAGCCUAAUACUAAGUAAACUGAUGAAAAAAAAAUCAAUGCAAUAAACUAUGAAUGAUGAUAGUUGAAAUAAAUACUUUGCGUAUGGAGGACCAUUAUUCUAAAUGUCUUUAAUUUUUUAAUAAUUCAUGUCUUAUGUUUAUAAAAAAGGAGGAAUUAUUGCUUGGUGGACUCAAAAGGCACAUAAAAAGCAUCUAGAAGAAUCUUAUAUUUAGUAAUAAGUCCAAACGAUAUUGGUGACCUUACAGUUUUUAGCAUCAUGUCCUGAGUUUGACGGAAGUGCAUUAGAGGAGGUGAACUUUGCUUUUUAAAGAUGGUGCUGAUAAAUGAUACUGGUGCAUUUAUAUAGCAUACUUUCUCCAUCAGGGAUAAACCUCCUUUCCAAAAGGACAAUUAAUUUUUGGAAACAACAAAACUCAGAAUACAUAUUAUGUGUAUGUAGGUAUAUAAUAUGUUUGUGAAUAUUCUGGGGCAACAGCAAUGGAACUUUUCGACAAAAUUCAGUGUUGCCACACACAUCAUCAUAUGCAUAGAUGUGUGUAUGUUUUGCACUGGCCAAGUUGUUAAUGUGUUCAAGUCAGAGCAUCAGGUCACCUGGAUCUGUGUAUUUGCAGGUGGGCUUAUCCACUCAUUUUCUCUUUUCACACACCAUUAAAGAGGAAAAACAAAAAACAAAAAAAACCUGACUAGUUAAUUUAAUCAAUCAGAAGGCAGUCAGUUCAGUACAGGGGAAGAAAAGUCACUGGAGCUACCUUUCCUGAAUUGAUUUUGACUGAAUUACCUUCUAAUCCAGUUGAUCUUGAAGCCCUCUCUUCUCAAAUGCCUAUCUUUCUCUCCCCCUCAUGUCCCCCAUUCAGUUUGCACCCU
This 3953-nucleotide long non-coding RNA is filed under the name Sus scrofa (pig). Its description in RNAcentral is "lncRNA (ENSSSCG00000053732.1)". Lineage: Eukaryota; Metazoa; Chordata; Mammalia; Artiodactyla; Suidae. The record is from RNAcentral.